RNAcentral lists this microRNA precursor (71 nucleotides) under Paramuricea clavata. The record is from RNAcentral. Lineage: Eukaryota; Metazoa; Cnidaria; Anthozoa; Malacalcyonacea; Plexauridae.
UUUGUAUUACGUGCGGAAAUUGUUACCAUUUUCGGCUCAAAAAUGGUAACAAUUUCCACACGUAAUAGCUA